Electrophorus electricus (electric eel) is the source of this 3366-nucleotide non-coding RNA. The record is from RefSeq and is a predicted model, not a curated record. Lineage: Eukaryota; Metazoa; Chordata; Actinopteri; Gymnotiformes; Gymnotidae.
AAAAAAAGAUAUCAAAGUGAAGAUAUAUUGAAAGAACAAAAAAAUCACAAGAGUGUUGAUCAUAUUAAAACUAUCUUUACCUUCUACGAAAUAGCCAUGUGACAGUCUUGCACACGUUUGGCAUGUUCUAAGCCAGCUACACAAGGUAACCCACCUAUAGUGUGUUUGCAGCAGUCAACACUCUUUCAGAUAUUACAAUUCUAUUACAAUUCAUUGUAAUUCGAUUACAAUGACAACGACUUUGGUUAUAAUAAUUUCAGACAUUCGGGUAUCUACUUGUACCACUAAUAUUUAAUAACUAUUUAACCAACUUUUAUACUUAUAUUUAGACGCACAUUUAAACCUAAGCCUUUAAUAUACAAUGUUGUCUCAUUCUAAACAUACAUUCAGUUAGCUGUGUCCAAACCUUUAACUGACACUGUAUACCUGUUUGUAUGUUGUCAAGAAGGUGUUGAAGACUGGGCAGUGGCUAUUGAAACAUGGCAUGUGACCUCUUUCACUACAGGGCUUGCACAACUUGCACAGCAUACAAUACCAGUUGCUGUUUUUAUGACUUAUAGCAACUUGAUCAUCUCUGAGCAAUCUGAGGUUGUUAUAUGGCUUUGGAGCCUUAGGUUACCAACUUUUCAGAUCGCUUUCCUCUUUAGGGUCCUUCACACUGCAACUGCACUCACUGUAUCAUGCAUCUAAAUUGAUCUCCUCAUCCCCUGUGCUUUUGUUCCAUUCUUAUCAAUCAUUCCCCUAGAGACACAGCUGGGAUUUCAUUUGUAGGUUUGAUGUACAGUCUUGGCUGAAAGAAUCACUUACAACCAGAGCAUAGUUGCCUCAAACACAUAAAGCAGUUGGGUUUGACCAAGAAAUGUUUCUGAUGUGACCUUUUAGAGGGUCAGGACACUACAACUUGUUAAGGAUCUGACAUCCUCCACUAUAGGAGUGCUUUUCACUCUGUGCUUAAAGACGUCAUAUUCUUUCAUCGUCAAACUGUGUUUUGUUACAUGUUCAUGCUGUGGUUUAUUCUCCUCGGCUUGGUAGCUGGUAUUUUAACAGAUCAUUCUGUCGACAAUAGAUCUGCUAAAAAGACAAAACCAUUCUGAAUUACUAACAAAGGAAAAAAAAGGGUUAAAGCUAAAAAAACCAAUGAGAUAUGUUCAAAUGCACCACAUCAAAACCUGUACAUAUCUCCAAUAUCUAUUCAAAUUGAGCUUAUUUUUUCCUUUGGGUUUCCUCAUGAACACAUCCUCUUUAACUGUAAUCAGUUAAUGCUUGAGGGUAAUGAGCAGGCCUCUUAUAUGUUGUCUGCGUAGUAAAGCCUAGCUCUUCCCAAGUGGGUGGUUCUCCGCUGUGAGUAGGAGCUCUCCACUGGAAUGCCAUCUCCUGUUUGCAGUGUAAGUAAGCAGACCAGUCUGCUUUAAUUACUUUGCAUUGUUUAUGUCACCUUGCAGGAUUCUUUUGCUGAGUGACUUCUGCAUGUACUUGGUGCCUAGCAACACAAGACAUUCCAGCUAGCUACCACAACCACUUUCUCAUGGCUUCACUUUCUCACAUUGUCCAUCAAACUUUGUCGCUCUCUGUCUUUGUAUCUCUCUGUCUCUCAUUAGCUGCUCUGCCGAUGAUUGGUCAAAUGGCUCUGAUUUGUCUCAGCUUAGGGUGGCUUUCAUUCCAGAGGUAAGGCUAAACACGAGUUAACAGUAAGAAGUGUGCUCUGGCCAAACACCUUUUAACAGCUGCCACUGGCCUAAAAGCAAAUGCAAAUAUAUUGGCUAGGCCCAUGCUGGGAUGUAUUACUGAGGGGUCAUAUAUUCGUUAGGCCUAUGCUGGGGUGUAUUUCUGAGGGGUCUUAUAUCCGUUAGGCCUAUGCUGGGGUGUAUUUCUGAGGAGUCUUAUAUCUGCUAGGCCAGUGCUAGGGUGUAUUUCUGAGUGGUCAUAUAUCCGUUAGGCCUAUGCUGGGGUGUAUUUCUGAGGGGUCUUAUAACCGCUAGGCCUAUGCUGGGGUGUAUUUCUGAGGGGGGUCUUAUAUCCAUUAGGCCUAUGCUGGGGUGUAUUUCUGAGGGGUCUUAUAUCCGUUAGGCCUAUGCUGGGGUGUAUUUCUGAGGGGUCUUAUAUCUGCUAGGCCCAUGCUGGGGUGUAUUUCUGAGUGGUCAUAUAUCCGUUAGGCCUAUGCUGGGGUGUGCUUCUGUGCCGGCUUCUUCCUUCACCCUUAGAGGCACCGAGUGGAGUGUAAUCCACGGUAACAUGGAAGCAGGAGAUUCUGGCCUGGAAGCAAACCAAUUCGACCAAAGCAAUUCCCUCUCGCAACGGAUUUGAUUUGGCUUGCCUCCAACUCUAACCAAUUCCACAGAACCAAAAAGAAGAUAAACAAGUACUUUCUGGCCUUGAUAUUAAAUAAAAUAUCAAGUUACAUGGGAUUUUGGGGGUGGGAUCAACAGCUGUAUAUUUUGCUGCAUAAGUUUCAAAAAUGACUAUGAAUGUAUAUGUUCCAAAUCUAUGCUGUUUGAGUGGUCUGCCUGCAAAUCCUUGACUAGAUCAGUUUUUUGCAACAUAUUCCAGUCAUAUUUGAUUUGGAUAUCAAGGCCACUGCUAGAGAAACCUACUAGCAGUUUGCAAAGUUCUUAGCAGCCUGUUUCAGACCUCAUUGCAUUUCUGAUAUCUACUUUAACUAAUACCUUGACCAGGCGUCUUGAGAACUCAAGUUGAUAGUAAAUUUUUGCAAAAGUUGAAUCAGGACUGUCAAGUUUGAUGGACAUCAUGUUGAUUCAGUGACACUGACAAAGCUCCAUUUGACCCACGAUUGACACAGAAAGGCUUUCUCUAUUCUGUAAUGAAAUAGAGUGCUAUGGCUGCAGAGCAGAGCAUAUGUCACUCCCUUCCAAACCUUCUGAGAAGGACGACCCACGAUUACCAGAGAUCAAUACCCUGCACAGCCCUGUACAGCAUUCUGAAGGCCAAGCGGGCAGAGGGCAGCUCUUCCCACACAGCAACUCUUUUCUUAGGACUCCCGGAGACAGUGGCGCACUUGCAGAUAUGAACACACGAGAGCAAAAUAAAAGAAACGAUCUCAGGCUCGGCCAUCAAGCCCACGUCACAGUGUGAGGAUCGUCUUGUUUGUGCUGCCCUGAUGGUCUCAUUGUUGACUCUCACUUGAUUCACGAAGUUUUUCUCGAGUUGGUUUUGAACACAAUACAAUGUUCUCUUUCUGUAAACUGUGCUAAAUGGUGGAAUUUAGGUUGGAUUGUAUCUGUAAAACAAUGUCUCUGAUUAUGUUUGAGUUGUUUUACUUAAAAAUGAAUGUGCCUAGUUACAACUAUAUUUGACUAUGUGUUAAAGCAUGUAAAUUCAUAAUUAAAUCACAAAGAGAUUAUGAAGUGA